GUUUCCUACGGGAGGCAGCAGUGAGGAAUAUUGGUCAAUGGUCGGGAGACUGAACCAGGCAAGCCGCGUGAGGGAUGAAGGUACAGAGUAUCGUAAACCUCUUUUGUCAGGGAACAAAGGCGGGGACGCGUCCCCGGAUGAGUGUACCUGAAGAAAAAGCAUCGGCUAACUCCGUGCCAGCAGCCGCGGUAAUACGGAGGAUGCGAGCGUUAUCCGGAUUUACUGGGUGUAAAGGGAGCGUAGACGGCUGUGCAAGUCUGAAGUGAAAGCCCGUGGCUCAACCGCGGCACUGCUUUGGAAACUGU
RNAcentral lists this ribosomal RNA (305 nucleotides) under uncultured bacterium. Its description in RNAcentral is "bacterial SSU rRNA". It matches the Rfam family "Bacterial small subunit ribosomal RNA", at positions 334 to 636 of the family's 1533-position model. The record is from RNAcentral.